This 80-nucleotide transfer RNA is filed under the name Candidatus Tremblayella princeps. Its description in RNAcentral is "Candidatus Tremblaya princeps tRNA-Stop(CTA)". It matches the Rfam family "tRNA". Rfam says of the family: Transfer RNA (tRNA) molecules are approximately 80 nucleotides in length. Their secondary structure includes four short double-helical elements and three loops (D, anti-codon, and T loops). The record is from RNAcentral. Lineage: Bacteria; Pseudomonadati; Pseudomonadota; Betaproteobacteria.
GGAAAUGUUGCAGAGCGGUAUAUGGCGCCAAACUCUAAGCUUGGUGACCAUCGCCGUGGGUUCUAAUUCCACCCUUUCCG